GAUGAACGCUGGCGGCGUGCUUAACACAUGCAAGUCGAGCGAAGCACUUUUGCGGAUUUCUUCGGAUUGAAGCAAUUGUGACUGAGCGGGCGACGGGUGAAGGUAACGCGUAGGUAACCUGCCUCAUACAGGGGGAUAACAGUUGGAAACGACUGCUAAUACCGCAUAAGCCCACAGCUCGGCAUCGAGCAGAGGGAAAGAGUGAUCCGCUUUGAGAUGGCCUCGCGUCCGAUUAGCUAGUUGGUGAGGUAACGGCCCACCAAGGCGACGAUCGGUAGCCGGACUGAGAGGUUGAACGGCCACAUUGGGACUGAGACACGGCCCAG
RNAcentral lists this ribosomal RNA (326 nucleotides) under uncultured bacterium. Its description in RNAcentral is "bacterial SSU rRNA". It matches the Rfam family "Bacterial small subunit ribosomal RNA", at positions 28 to 334 of the family's 1533-position model. The record is from RNAcentral.